CAACAGAUGACUGAAAGUAAGUUUAGGUCUUUUAAACCUAAUAUAGUAGAGACGCCUACUUCUGGUGA
Molecule: transfer RNA, 68 nt
Filed under: Upogebia yokoyai
Lineage: Eukaryota; Metazoa; Arthropoda; Malacostraca; Decapoda; Upogebiidae
Description: tRNA-Lys
Source: RNAcentral